GCUGGGCGUUGUGGCAGGUGCCUAUGGUCCCAGCUACUCAGGAGGCUGAGGCAAGAGAAUUGCCUAAGCCCAGGAGUUGGAGGUUGCUGUGAGCUAUGUGACUCCACAGCACUCUACCAAGGGUGAUAAAGUGAGACUCUGUCUCUACAAAAAAAAAAAAGAGAGAGAGAGAGAGACAGAGUCUCAUUUUGUCACCCUCAGUACAGUGCUGUGGUUUCACAGCUCACAGCAACCUCCAAUUCCUGGGCUUAGGCAAUUCUCUUGC
This 265-nucleotide small RNA is filed under the name Otolemur garnettii (small-eared galago). RNAcentral describes it as "Metazoan signal recognition particle RNA (ENSOGAG00000029776.1)". The record is from RNAcentral. Lineage: Eukaryota; Metazoa; Chordata; Mammalia; Primates; Galagidae.